GACGAACGCUGGCGGCGUGCUUAACACAUGCAAGUCGAACGGAAAGGCCCUGCUUUUGUGGGGUGCUCGAGUGGCGAACGGGUGAGUAACACGUGAGUAACCUGCCCUUGACUUUGGUAUAACUUCAGGAAACUGGGGCUACUACCGUAUAGGAGCUCCUGCUGCAUGGUGGGGGUUGGAAAGUUUCGGCGGUUGGGGAUGGACUCGCGGCUUAUCAGCUUGUUGGUGGGGUAGUGGCUUACCAAGGCUUUGACGGGUAGCCGGCCUGAGAGGGUGACCGGCCACAUUGGGACUGAGAUACGGCCCAGACUCCUACGGGAGGCAGCAGUGGGGAAUAUUGCACAAUGGGCGGAAGCCUGAUGCAGCAACGCCGCGUGCGGGAUGACGGCCUUCGGGUUGUAAACCGCUUUCGCCUGUGACGAAGCGUGAGUGACGGUAAUGGGUAAAGAAGCACCGGCUAACUACGUG
Molecule: ribosomal RNA, 468 nt
Filed under: uncultured bacterium
Lineage: Bacteria
Description: partial 16S ribosomal RNA
Rfam family: Bacterial small subunit ribosomal RNA
Source: RNAcentral